CCUACGGGGGGCAGCAGUGAGGAAUAUUGGUCAAUGGACGAGAGUCUGAACCAGCCAAGUAGCGUGAAGGAUGACUGCCCUAUGGGUUGUAAACUUCUUUUAUAUGGGAAUAAAAUGUUCCACGUGUGGGAUUUUGUAUGUACCAUAUGAAUAAGGAUCGGCUAACUCCGUGCCAGCAGCCGCGGUAAUACGGAGGAUCCGAGCGUUAUCCGGAUUUAUUGGGUUUAAAGGGAGCGUAGGUGGAUUGGUAAGUCAGUUGUGAAAGUUUGAGGCUCAACCGUAAAAUUGCAGUUGAAACUGGCAGUCUUGAGUACAGUAGAGGUGGGCGGAAUUCGUGGUGUAGCGGUGAAAUGCUUAGAUAUCACGAAGAACUCCGAUUGCGAAGGCAGUUCACUGGACUGCAACUGACACUGAGGCUCGAAAGUGUGGGUAUCAAACAGGAUUAGAUACCCUUGUAGUC
This 460-nucleotide ribosomal RNA is filed under the name uncultured bacterium. RNAcentral describes it as "partial 16S ribosomal RNA". It matches the Rfam family "Bacterial small subunit ribosomal RNA", at positions 338 to 795 of the family's 1533-position model. The record is from RNAcentral.